Odontomachus brunneus is the source of this 3203-nucleotide long non-coding RNA. RefSeq lists it as uncharacterized. The record is from RefSeq and is a predicted model, not a curated record. The transcript has 2 exons. Lineage: Eukaryota; Metazoa; Arthropoda; Insecta; Hymenoptera; Formicidae.
CAUCAAUACACGUCCCACUCGCGACAGGUGGUGACGGUGGUGAGGGUAGUGAUGUUGGAAAAGCUCUUUCUCUCUCUUUCUCAAUAUGCAAGGCUUCAAGCAACAUUACGUCUUCUGCUUCAACGUCAUUCCUUUGUUAAAUGAUAUAAUUCAAUCGAAGUCAGUUUCACUAAAAGGCCGGGAUUCCCUCGUAUUAAUACAAAUGGGAGGACCCGGCAGAGGAGAGGAGGCUGACUAGGUAGGGAGAGACAGGAAGAGACAAGGAGAGACAAGGAGAGACAGGAAGAGACAGGGAGAGACAAGAGAGGCAGGGAAAACAGGGAGAGACAAGGAGAGAUAUAUCUCUUCUGUAUUUUUUUCCCCAAUCAAAAUGCGCUAGAAGUGUCAUUUUAUACUACUUAAGAAGCAUUACUCUCGUAAUGCUUAUGAAGUGUUUCUUAUCGAUACUUCAUUAGGAAUUAAAUUAUUUUACGCCAGUCAUUUCGAGAUUAAACGGUAAGAUAAUCGCGGCAAUCCUUAAACAACGAAUUAUCGAUGUCAGUAGAAAUAUUGAUUGUAGCUAUCACGCGGCGAUAUAUGUCCGAAAUUAAAAUCACCCGCGAUAGGAUCGUUCGAUUUCCCGCGGACUUCAAUUCAUCGAAUUCGUUCAACCUUCGCGCUUCUCUCGCACACGUGCUUUUCCAACAGUUCCGCCCUAACCUGGUCGGACGUGUUUGAACUUUCGGAUGUGAUCUGUGAUUUUUUUGAAAAAUAUUUUGGAAUUAUUCUCAAGGAACAUUAAAGAUCAUCUAUUAAUCGGAGAAUGGCAUUAUCUAAUUUUGCUCUAACAAUCAAUAAUUUAUUGUAAAUUAAUCUGAAUAAAAAUAGGCGAAGGAAUGGGUUAAGAAGAUGAAUUGCAUGUCACGUUAAUUUACAAGAAAUUAUUGAUUGUUAGAACAAAAGGGCAGUGCACGGAAUAUCUUUUGUUUACAACAACUUUGUAAACAAAUUUGUUUAAUCGAUUGCAAGUGUUACUUCAUGGAUAUAUAUUUUUAUUUUAACAUAUUUUGCAAUAAUUCUUAGCAUGCAUUUUCUCGCUUCUGACGUCAUUAAAAAGAGAUAGACAAUGCGAGGGGCCAAGAGCCUUAAGUGUGUAUCAUUAACACAUUUACUUAAAUUCUCUUCAUUUAAAACUGAAUAAACUUUAUUUAAUCUUUAGACCACCGGGGUCUGAAGUAUUUGAAUUCCCGAAGAAAAUCACCUUAAAAAAAGUACUUUAUAGGUAUAUACAAAGAUAUAUACAAAGAUAUAUACAAAGUUUAUAUACAAUAGAUAUAUACAAAGUUUCGAUCACGGCUCGCGCCUAUAUUUAGCGCGCUUUUGAGAACACCGACUGACUAUUUCUAUUUCUCUGAACGAUAUAUAAUGUGCAAUAUAUGUCAAUACAGGAUUGCAAACUGACCUGCAUGAUUCGUUGCACACGAAGAACAAAAACAUUUUGCGUCUCAAAAUUUGCAGAUUACACAUACAGAUUAUACACUUGGUUCUUUUUUCCGGCGGUCUAAAGAUUAAACUGAGUAAACAGUACUCAGUUUAAAUGAAAAGAAUUUUGAUUUAAAUAAAUAUAUUAAUGGUAUUCACUUAAUAAAUAAUUGUCAAUUUUUAGAUGUUUUUUCUCAGUGUAUAAAUUCAUAAAAUCAUUUUCUUUAACACGACAGAUCAAACACGUGUUUACCUGAAGUGGCUUAAUAUAGCGAUCCGACCAGAAAUAAUGAUUACUGCUAUCGAUGGGAAGCGCGAGCACACGUUGCUCGUCGAGGAGUUCUUGCAAAAUUAGAGGAGCAAAACUUACUGUACUGUGCCAUGAGUGGCAGCCAGUUUUUAUGUCCAUCAAGCGCGUCUCCCCACCGAAUCGCUCUUCGAAUACGUUUGGCGCUUCAAACUAUCCCGGUAAAAUAAUGUCGUUACCACACAACAUUAAAGGAGCAGACCGCAUUCUAAGCGAGGCAUUUGUAGCGUCGAGCAAACUAAAUCCUUUGUCAAAUCACUUCCAUCCUUCUGCGAAGCAUUCGAUUCAUUCCUCGUUGCGAAAACCUGCAAGAGUAAAGCUUUAUACUGAAUAUCGUGAACGUGAUAUACCGCGUACAUCGAGUAUCAAUAAAAAACAAUUAAUUUUCAACGCCAGUUGCAAGCGAUAUCGCAAGACGUCAUCGAUCGACGAUAACAAACCGCGUUUGUUUCUCCUUUUUUCUUUCCGUCGCAUUGUGCGAGAGAGAUUUAUUUCUGGGAGGGAAUGUCAAUUGUGCAAUGUAAUUAAUUAUUCGAUGAAAAUAAAUAUCGUCGAAAAAAAAAGAGCGAGAGCUCUCCAAUUUGGCCUUUAUGUUAAAUACUCCAAAUAAUGCGUCGAGUGUCGUGAUAAAGCACAUCUUUGACUAAACAUAAUGCCGGUACAAGAGGUAAGCGACGAAUGAUACUAUCUUAUCGAGAGAUAAAUGACAAACGAUACUAUCUUAUCAAGAGAUCUUAUGGGGAUUAAUUAUUGAUAGAGAUUUUUAUAUAUUGUAUUCGUUUUUUUCCCGUCGCGCUAAUUGAGAAUAUGCUUGUGCCAAAAGCGAGAGAGAAAGAGAGAGGGGAGCGAGGAAGGGAGAGAGAGAGAGAGAGACGGGAAUAAUUUUAUGUAUGGCAUGAAUAAUUUUAAGUAUAGCCGAGGAUGAAAUUCGCAUAUUAUUCCAACGUUCAAAAUAGCAUUUUUUUAUUUAUAUUUCACCAACUACGUCAACAACCGAUUAUGCUUGCUAUAAUGAAGCUCAAUAAAGCGCAGAAGUUGCAUCAGAAUAGCGAGAUGUACAUUUGAUUAAAUCAAUCUGUAAUUGGGACUCGACUGAUGUAAUCUUCCUCUUCUGAUCACUAAGCCGUCGCGUUAUCACCGUGAGUGUCAUCAUAAGUCGACCGCGACGACAUAUUCAAUUCCUGACCCACUGUGCAUCGCGGACACACACUCGACUUCCUUGUCCUGACAACGCCAUUGAAAUGAUACAUAAAAGUGUCGCAAUGACGAAGCGCGCUUCUGAAAACACCGACUAACUAUUUUUAUCUCUCUGAACGCUAUAUGAUGUAACAAUAUACGUUAAUAAGGAUUGUAAACCGACCUACAUGUUCGUUGCACGUGAAGAACAAAAAUAUGCGCAUUGAAAUUUGCAGAUUAUAAAAGUUGCUACAGAAAA